RNAcentral lists this ribosomal RNA (501 nucleotides) under uncultured bacterium. Its description in RNAcentral is "bacterial SSU rRNA". It matches the Rfam family "Bacterial small subunit ribosomal RNA", at positions 8 to 507 of the family's 1533-position model. The record is from RNAcentral.
AGAGUUUGAUCAUGGCUCAGAUUGAACGCUGGCGGAAUGCUUACACAUGCAAGUCGAACGGCAGCACGGGGCAACCUGGUGGCGAGUGGCGAACGGUGAGUAAUACAUCGGAACGUGCCCAAUCGUGGGGGAUAACGUAGCGAAAGUUACGCUAAUACCGCAUACGAUCUACGGAUGAAAGCGGGGGAUCGCAAGACCUCGCGCGAAUGGAGCGGCCGAUGUCAGAUUAGGUAGUUGGUGGGGUAAAGGCUCACCAAGCCAACGAUCUGUAGCUGGUCUGAGAGGACGACCAGCCACACUGGAACUGAGACACGGUCCAGACUCCUACGGGAGGCAGCAGUGGGGAAUUUUGGACAAUGGGCGCAAGCCUGAUCCAGCCAUUCCGCGUGCAGGAUGAAGGCCUUCGGGUUGUAAACUGCUUUUGUACGGAACGAAAAGGUCCUGGUUAAUACCUGGGGGCUCAUGACGGUACCGUAAGAAUAAGCACCGGCUAACUACGUG